ACGUACACUCCUACGGGAGGCAGCAGUGGGGAAUAUUGCACAAUGGGCGCAAGCCUGAUGCAGCCAUGCCGCGUGUGUGAAGAAGGCCUUCGGGUUGUAAAGCACUUUCAGCGGGGAGGAAGGCGAUACGGUUAAUAACCGUGUUGAUUGACGUUACCCGCAGAAGAAGCACCGGCUAACUCCGUGCCAGCAGCCGCGGUAAUACGGAGGGUGCAAGCGUUAAUCGGAAUUACUGGGCGUAAAGCGCACGCAGGCGGUCUGUCAAGUCGGAUGUGAAAUCCCCGGGCUCAACCUGGGAACUGCAUUCGAAACUGGCAGGCUUGAGUCUUGUAGAGGGGGGUAGAAUUCCAGGUGUAGCGGUGAAAUGCGUAGAGAUCUGGAGGAAUACCGGUGGCGAAGGCGGCCCCCUGGACAAAGACUGACGCUCAGGUGCGAAAGCGUGGGGAGCAAACAGGAUUAGAAACCCCAGUAGUCCCAUG
This 479-nucleotide ribosomal RNA is filed under the name uncultured organism. Its description in RNAcentral is "partial 16S ribosomal RNA". It matches the Rfam family "Bacterial small subunit ribosomal RNA", at positions 329 to 799 of the family's 1533-position model. The record is from RNAcentral.